AAGUCGUAACAAGGUCUCCGUUGGUGAACCAGCGGAGGGAUCAUUACCGAGUUUACAACUCCCAAACCCACAUGUGAACAUACCAUUUUGUUGCUUCGGCGGACCCGUCCCAGCGUCCGGGCGACCUUGCGUCGUCCCGCGGCCUGGAACCAGACGGCCGCCGGGGAAAACCAAAACUCUUUGUAUCUAUCUAUUCUUCUGAAUACGCCGCAAGGCAAAACACAAAUGAAUCAAAACUUUCAACAACGGAUCUCUUGGUUCUG
RNAcentral lists this unclassified non-coding RNA (263 nucleotides) under Lecanicillium sp. Its description in RNAcentral is "partial contains small subunit ribosomal RNA, internal transcribed spacer 1, and 5.8S ribosomal RNA". The stretch from base 1 to 46 matches the Rfam family "Eukaryotic small subunit ribosomal RNA", at positions 1786 to 1831 of the family's 1831-position model. The record is from RNAcentral. RNAcentral also lists the same sequence under 1 other name. Lineage: Eukaryota; Fungi; Ascomycota; Sordariomycetes; Hypocreales; Cordycipitaceae.